GACGGACGUUGGCGGCGUGCUUAAUACAUGCAAGUCAACUGAAGCAGUGGUAGCAAUAUCGCUGUGGAGGUGGCGCACGGGUGAGUAACACGUAGGUAAUCUGCCUUCAGGUCUGGCAUAACUCCGGGAAACCGGGGCUAAUAGCAGAUGAUGCAGCGGCUCGACAUCGAGACAGUUGUUAAAGCUAUGGCGCCUGAAGAUGAGCCUGCGUCUGAUUAGCUAGUUGGCGGGGUAACGGCCCACCAAGGCAACGAUCAGUAGCUGGUCUGAGAGGAUGAUCAGCCACACUGGAACUGAGACACGGUCCAGACUCCUACGGGAGGCAGCAGUAAGGAAUAUUGCUCAAUGGGAGAAAUCCUGAAGCAGCAACGCCGCGUGAGGGACGAAGGGCUUUUGCUUGUAAACCUCUGUAGUGAGAGAAAAAAAUCCCAAUCUUUGGGACAUGAUGGUAGCUCAAAAGUAAGCCCCGGCUAACUACGUG
This 481-nucleotide ribosomal RNA is filed under the name uncultured bacterium. RNAcentral describes it as "partial 16S ribosomal RNA". It matches the Rfam family "Bacterial small subunit ribosomal RNA", at positions 28 to 507 of the family's 1533-position model. The record is from RNAcentral.